UAGGGAAUCUUCCACAAUGGACGCAAGUCUGAUGGAGCAACGCCGCGUGAGUGAAGAAGGUUUUCGGAUCGUAAAGCUCUGUUGUUGGUGAAGAAGGAUAGAGGCAGUAACUGGUCUUUAUUUGACGGUAAUCAACCAGAAAGUCACGGCUAACUACGUGCCAGCAGCCGCGGUAAUACGUAGGUGGCAAGCGUUGUCCGGAUUUAUUGGGCGUAAAGCGAGCGCAGGCGGAAUGAUAAGUCUGAUGUGAAAGCCCACGGCUCAACCGUGGAACUGCAUCGGAAACUGUCAUUCUUGAGUGCAGAAGAGGAGAGUGGAACUCCAUGUGUAGCGGUGGAAUGCGUAGAUAUAUGGAAGAACACCAGUGGCGAAGGCGGCUCUCUGGUCUGCAACUGACGCUGAGGCUCGAAAGCAUGGGUAGCGAACAGGAUUAGAUACCCUGGUAGUCCAUGCCGUAAACGAUGAGCGCUAGGUGUUGGGGACUUUCCGGUCCUCAGUGCCGCAGCAAACGCAUUAAGCGCUCCGCCUGGGGAGUACGACCGCAAGGUUGAAAC
RNAcentral lists this ribosomal RNA (554 nucleotides) under uncultured bacterium. Its description in RNAcentral is "partial 16S ribosomal RNA". It matches the Rfam family "Bacterial small subunit ribosomal RNA", at positions 355 to 900 of the family's 1533-position model. The record is from RNAcentral.